RNAcentral lists this ribosomal RNA (253 nucleotides) under uncultured bacterium. Its description in RNAcentral is "partial 16S ribosomal RNA". It matches the Rfam family "Bacterial small subunit ribosomal RNA", at positions 524 to 776 of the family's 1533-position model. The record is from RNAcentral.
UCCGGAGGAGGCAAUCGUUAUCCGGAAUUAUUGGGCGUAAAGCGUCCGUAGGUGGUGAUUCAAGUCAGCGGUUAAAGCGUGGGGCUUAACCUCAUACAGGCCGUUGAAACUGGAUUGCUAGAGUGCGGUAGGGGUCGAGGGAAUUCCCAGUGUAGCGGUGAAAUGCGUAGAUAUUGGGAAGAACACCGGUGGCGAAAGCGCUCGGCUGGGCCUGCACUGACACUGAGGGACGAAAGCUAGGGGAGAGAAAGGG